Molecule: long non-coding RNA, 5255 nt
Organism: Zeugodacus cucurbitae (melon fly)
Lineage: Eukaryota; Metazoa; Arthropoda; Insecta; Diptera; Tephritidae
Exons: 3
Source: RefSeq, a predicted model, not a curated record
AGUUCCAAUGAGCGGAAAUCACAUGCGGCGCCGAAAAGAAGCGCCUUUGUUUGACCACAAAAAAACCCCUUAAAACAGUGUAGACGUCGAGAUAGGGUCCCUUCUUCAGAGAGUUUCUAAAUUGGUAGUGUCUUCACUUAGUGGGCUUCAAGGGCAAGAAUUCAAGCAGCUUUCGAUUCAGUUAAGAAGGGUUGCUAAUUCUUCAAAUGUUCACUUUUGCUUCCCAGAGUCCACCCAUGUGUGGAGCUCCUGGAGGAUUAAAGUGAAGUUGAUUUUUUGGUGUGCUUCACUUGUUAUUACUUGCGUUUUGAGUGAUUUCAUGAAGUCUCGCCGAUCGCUGAUUAAGAGCUGAAACGCUCCAACGAAUUUAAUUCCAUUGUCUGAGUAAAGAUCGGCGGGACAUCUUCGCCUGGAAAAAAUGCGAGUGAAUGCGGUCGUGAAUGGGGUAAUGAGAUCGGGUAAUGGGUAAUGAGAUCGCUGACCGGUUCUAGGUGUAUUGCUUUGGUUGCAAAACACACAAAUACGUACACAUAAAAAUUUGUUAUCAAGCAUGCUGUUCCCGUGUAAUUUUAAUGUCGUAUGGACCGCCGAAUAUGAAUGAGGACAAGACGAAAUAUCGAAUGAAGACAAGACGAAAUAUCUCCUGUCAUCAAGCAAACAGUCGGCGCAUUCUCGUCUUGGCUCCCACGUCACUGUUGACAGUCAUAACUUCGAAGUCGUAGAUAAUUUCGUAUACCUGGGAACCAGUAUCAACAACACCAACAAUGUCAGCCUCGAAAUCCAGCGCAGAAUCACUCUUGCCAACAGGUGCUAUUUUGGACUGAGUAGGCAAUUGAAAAGUAAAGUCCUCUCUCUGCCAAAAUCAAACUCUACAAGUCGCUCAUCAUUCCCGUCCUGCUUUAUGGUGCAGAAGCUUGGACGAUGUCAACAUCAGAUGAGACGGCACUAGGAGUUUUCGAGAGGAAAGCGUAAGCUUUUUCAGAUGCAUUAGAGAAUCCAUGAAAGCUGAUUAUCACUGAUAUCGAGAAGUGGGUCCACCGGUGAAUUUUAAUAAAAUUAAGGGUUUCAUAAUCCUUUAUGAAGGUUUUCCAUCGAUGUAGAGUUAAAGGUUUUAGACUCUCAUCCCAAUUGGUUUUAUCGAGCCAUAUCUGUUGCAUUAUUAUUUUGGCUGUGAUUAUAACGGGGCUGAGACAUCCAGCUGGGUCAAAUAAUUUUUCUGUUGUCGAUAAAACUUCUCUCUUAGUAAUUGAAGUCUUAUCUGGAAUAGGGUUGAUAAGAAAAAAUAAUGCGUCUGUUUUGGCAUUCCUAUUCCCAGGGAUUUAGGCUAUCGGUUUCGGGUAAACUGAAUAAGUUGGUGUACAAAAAAAUCCUCUGAAGGGAUUCCAUGUGUCUGGAGUUGCCCAAUUCGAUGUUUUCCGGGUUUUUAAAGGGUAGAGUUACUACAUAUCGCACUGUUGAGUGUUUGCGGGUGGUUUUUUCAUAAUUCUACUCACACAAGAUAUCGAAAUUUGAGGGUAAGGGCUUUCUCGGAAUUUCUUCUACUUCCAAUUGUGUUAGCAGCUUAUUAUAGAGGGUAAAAUGGGUUUAUCUGCCGUGGGCGAGGAAAGAAUCCAGGCCGAAUUCUGUUUCUUGGGCUGUAGUGUGCCGAAAACAUUUCUCUGUACCCCACCGUACAUUUGUGGGUACAAGUCACUUCCAAUAAGGAUGUCAAAUGGUCUGGGUUUGUAAAUGUAUAGGUCCGCUAAAUUGAAACCGAGUUUCAUAUUGGCACUUGUUGGGCGAGUGGGUAAUUGGGCAAAUUAUCCGUUAAGGUUUUUAAAUAAAAAGCCGGGGGAUUUUAUCUUAAACUCUUUGUUUGUUGGGUGAGUUCGCAAGUUUUGGUAACUUUUGGGGAGACUGUGUUAUUUAAUGCUGUCACUUGCGCAUUUCUUAAGUUUGUUGGUAUUUCCAAUCUCCUUUGGAAUUUUUCCGAAAUGAAUAUGGCCUCUGAGCCUGAGUCUAUAAGAGCUCUAAGUAUAGUUGUCCUUUGUUGUAAACUUGCACACUAACAAAAUCGGCUAUCUACAUGAGCUGAGUGGGUUUUGGGUUCUAUUUGCGUUGGACUGCAACAGGGUGGUUUGAAUCAAGAGCCGGGUUUGAGGCUCUUGGUCCUUGCGGCUGGGAAUGAGGUCUGGGUGUCACCUCUUUGUUAAGAAGAGUGUGGUGUUUCCUUUUGCAUAUUCUGCACAAGUAUUUGCUCUUGGAUCCUUGGAAUUAUGCGAUAAUGCAAGGCAAUUAUAACAAUAACCAUUAUUUUUUAUGGUAGUUAUUCGGUUCUCGACAUAUAUUUUUUAAAUUUUAGGCAUUCCCGAAUGGAUUGUUGUGUUCUACACAAUUUACAACUCUCAAUAAGUACAGAUCUUUUCGAGGAGUUGUUGCUUCUAAUAGGGUUUUCGAUAGAUUAUAAAACAGUUAAAGUUGAAACGUUCGCAUGAAAGGUGUUAUAUUUCCUGUCCAUUCCUAUUCUAGAGGGUCCACUUUCGGAGUGGGUAGCUGGAACGGAUUCAGUCAGAUUUCCUACAGUUUCCAGGGAUUUGGAUCGAUGGGUAAGGGACGCGUCGAAAACUUUCGGAGUUGUCUUCCAGGUUGUCUUAAAAUUGAUGCUGCAGGGUUUUGGGUAAGAAUAUUAAAAUACUGUCCCAACUGAUGGUAUCUAUAUAUAUGUACAUUAUGCAGAUUUGUCAAACACUUCUUUACAAGCUCUCUGAAGGUGUUUGACCGCCCUUGCGCUUUCCUGGUUUGCUUGGGGUAGAUUGAACAAAACUUUCAAUUGCGCGUUAACUUGCUUAUUUUCAUUUUGUGAUAUGAGGUCCCUCCAUGCCAUCACGAAACCAUCAUAUGUUAGGGAGGCGUUUUUAUUCGCUCUUGUAUCUUCUCGGGUUUUUUGAAUUAGGUGAAACAGUCUCUCCACGUUGCUAUUUUUUUAUUAUUUAUAUAUAUGGCCGUAAAUAUGUUAUAUAUAUCAGUAUCACAUGGGGGUAGAUUUAAUGAGGAUCCUGGGCCCAUCAAUGAUUUUUCUUCUGACGCUCGUUCCUUAAUGACUGGAUUUGGGGUCUUGAGAUCAUUAAUCGUUUGGUUGAUUGAUCCCAGGCAUUUAAAUAAUAGCUGAUGCCCUCUUUUGAAUUUAUCUUUUACUUAAGCCAAGUCAAUAGUUUCGCCGGAUUUCUGUGGGGCUCUACGAAAGGUAUCGUACGACUUAUUAUUCUUGUCGUCAAUGGCAUUCAAUUCAAUUCUUAUCUUUUCUUUAUCUAUAUGUAUAUAUAAAUGACAGUCCGGUUAGUUACACUAUUUAUAAUUCAAGAACGGCUGAACCAAUUUGGCUUAAAUUUGGUUUGAAGGUAGCUUAGCACCGAAGGCAUUCCAUAUAAAACACAAAUUUACUAACACAAAUUUACUAUACAAAUCAUCAGAAUAGGCGUUCAUUUGGUAAGAUUAAAAUAGUAUAUUCAGAAUACUGUUCAAAUAGUUUUAUAUAGUAGCAGAUAUUUACAAAUACCAUAGAUAGGCAAUAUUGCUUCAUUUUUAUCUGUUUAUUUUUUAGUUUUUUAUUCACAUUUGAUGUUUAUGUUUUAUAUUGCGUGAAUCGAAACCUGUAUGUAUAUGAAUUGCAUAGAAACCGUUUAGCUGGUUACAGCUGAGUUGAUGAUAGCGCGCCACUCCUCUCUUUCCCUUGCAGUUCGGUGCCAGUUGGAGAUCCCAAGUGUAACCAAGUCGCUCUCCACCUGGUCCAUCCAACGGAGUGGACUCCUUCCCCUUCCUCGGCUUCCUCCGGCUGGUACUGCAUUGAACACUUCCAGAGCUGGAGUUUUUUCGUCCAUUCGAACAACAUAGUCAUAGUCAGCUUAGCCGCUGUCUUUUUAUUCGCUGAACUAUGUCAAUAUCGUCGUAUAACUCGUACAACUUAUAAUUCCAUCGUCUGCGGUAUUCGUCGUUGACAAUGUUCUGAGGACCAUAAAUCAAACAAGUAUCGAAAAAAUAGUUAGCUAUAAUUAAAUGUAAAAAUCUUGCAUCCGUUUCUUUAAUUAUUUUAUUCAAUUGCAUAUAUCGAGAUCUCUUUACUUCACGUGAUGUAUUUAAAAUAUGUACGAUUGAAGAAAACUAAGCAACAGCCAAAAAAAAAUUCCAGCCGAUGGUCGAGUAUAGCAUGUGACAUUCUGACAAACAGAUGAAUACAAUAGGGCCAUUCAGAAUCUUGUGCAAAUGCUCUUGCAUCUUUGCAAUUGCAAAUUAGCGAGCAUAUUUAUAUAUUUGCUUUUAACCUAACAAAAUGUACAGGGAUGCAAUUGCUACACCCUUGCAAAUAAGCAACACUAAAACACUAUUGUAUUGUGUGAAACACUGUUUUGCAAAUUAUCAGAGGGAAAUAAAGGGGACUAUUUGCAGGAAGCACCAGAAAUGGAGGUACCGACAGAACAAUUUUUUUUAUACACUACAUGGGAGCUGAUUCGGUGCAAAGUGAGGCACUUGAAAACCUCUUUUGAAAAAGUAAGCGAUUGGCGAAAGUCAACAGGAGCAGGCCUUCUCGAGUCCAACUUUGGGAUGUCGAGUGUUGAAGGCAAAGUGCUGCAGAUGUGCCCUCAUUUUAAUCAACUCAACGAUAUUUUUGGAACAAAACGUUCAGCUGCAUUGUCUUUUUAAGUGUUCGUUACUGGCAACGCGCCCAUCAUGGACGACAGCGCGACUUUAUAAAUAUUGGAAGCAACUAUUUGCGAUGUGGGAGAAGAAAAUCAAUAUUUAAUUGAUCUUAUCAAUGACGAAAAUCUACCAUCAGGCAAUGUAAGUCAAAUUCCACAAAAAUCUUGUUGCUUUCCAAGCAGAUGGAAAAGAAAUGUUUAAAAUUAAAAUUGAAUUGAAAAAAGGAGAAAACCCCAAAUGAUUUCGGUUUGAGUGAUAGAAGAUUGCAAGCAGAUAUUGAAUACAAGAAUCGUGAAUUGGAUUUAAAAAUGUUAGAGUUGGAAAAAGACGAGAGAUUGAAAAAACUUCAAAUUAAAAAAGAUAAGUAAGAUAAGUUUGAAAUUGAGAUGAAAUAUAAGUAUUCCUCUCAACAGUAAUUUAUAAACAACUUCCCUUUCUUUCUGCUUACAAUCUUUUACCACCCCAAUCUAAACUAAUUACUUUAAUUUAAUUAUCGGAUUAUUUUGUAUACAAUAAUUUAAUGUAUAGAUAUAUUAAUGUAUAUUAUUUAAACAUAUUGACAGAACUGAGAAAUGAAUUAA